AUGUACUUACUUUGUUUGUUCU
Molecule: microRNA, 22 nt
Filed under: Bombyx mori (domestic silkworm)
Lineage: Eukaryota; Metazoa; Arthropoda; Insecta; Lepidoptera; Bombycidae
Also listed under: 2 other names
Description: bmo-miR-3338-3p
Source: miRBase by way of RNAcentral